UUCGGUUAAAAAUGCAAUUCUGCCUCUGAUAACAUUUUUCCGAUAAUUUUAGUUGACAAAUUAAUUUUUUUGUCUGUUAUUUCUGAAGGUUUCGUGUGAGGUCGUUACUGUUUUGUUGAAACACGACGAUUUAUUUUUUUUUAAUGUGCUAUAGACAUAUAAUCAAAUUUAUACUUCGUAAACUACAUGGUUGACGAAUUGCAGCAUUAGGAAAGCUGGUCAAAAAUAGAUGACCAGGUAAUUGCUGGGCAUAGCUCGGUUGAAUUUCAUAACGCAUACCUAAUAAAAAACCUUGUCAGGAAAAACUGAUCCAUUUGAAUCUGAAAAAUUGCAAGGUUCUAGUCGUCGGACCGAAAUUCAAGGCGGUAAAUAAUGGGGGUGGAUGUUGUUAUCUCCGGAGCCGCUGGAACAUUUCCACAAUGUAAGAGCAUUCCUGAGCUGGAGAAUGCUCUAUUCAAAAAGCGCAUCUCAUCACCGACGAUGAACAAAUAUGGGAAAAAAGACUUGGAUCUACCGGGCAUUGUGGGAAAGCCAUUUGUGAAAAAAAAUUCGAUGCGUUAUUCUUCAAAAUCCCUUGCAGUUUACCCGCAACUAUGGACCCAGUAACAAAGAAAGCCUUGGAAACGAGUAUUGAAGCUAUCAUUGAUGCUGGAGUGAAUCCAAAGUCAUUAGCAGGCACGCAAACUGCCGUUUACUGCUUGUAUGACUUCAGCGAGUUCGAGAUGAGCAUAUCCAAAGCACAAUCUCAGAGAGCAAUACUUGGCAUCGGCCGGUGCUUCUCGGCGAAUAGACUCUCAUUCGCUUUGGAUCUGCAAGGUUAGUCGCAAAUCUGGUUUGCAAGUUAGUAUUUGCCCAUAUGCCGUUUGC
This 867-nucleotide long non-coding RNA is filed under the name Bemisia tabaci. RNAcentral's name for it is "lncRNA ENSSSA2NGG006306". Lineage: Eukaryota; Metazoa; Arthropoda; Insecta; Hemiptera; Aleyrodidae. The record is from RNAcentral.